GAUGAACGCUAGCGGGAGGCUUAAUACAUGCAAGUCGAGGGGUAACAGGGGCUUCGGCCCGCUGACGACCGGCGCACGGGUGAGUAACGCGUACGCAACUUACCUCCAAGCGAGGGAUAGCCCUGGGAAACUGGGAUUAAUACCUCAUGUGAUUAUGAUGCCGCAUGGUGUUAUAAUUAAAGUUCAGGCGCUUGGAGAUGGGCGUGCGUCCUAUUAGCUAGUUGGUGAGGUAACGGCUCACCAAGGCGACGAUAGGUAGGGGGCGUGAGAGCGUGGCCCCCCACACGGGUACUGAGACACGGACCCGACUCCUACGGGAGGCAGCAGUAAGGAAUAUUGGACAAUGGGCGCAAGCCUGAUCCAGCCAUCCCGCGUGCAGGAUGACAGCCCUACGGGUUGUAAACUGCUUUUGUUAGGGAAGAAACCCCCUCGAUUUAUCGGGGGCUGACGGUACCUUUCGAAUAAGCACCGGCUAACUCCGUGCCAGCAGCCGCGGUAAAG
Molecule: ribosomal RNA, 501 nt
Filed under: uncultured bacterium
Lineage: Bacteria
Description: bacterial SSU rRNA
Rfam family: Bacterial small subunit ribosomal RNA
Source: RNAcentral